GGGGGGGGGGGGGGGGGGGGGGGGGGCGGGGGGGGUGGGCGGGGGGGACGGGGGCCGGCGCCUAUUUGAGGGGCGUCGGACGGGUGAGUGACGCGGGGGCAGUCUGCCUUUGAGCGGGGGUCAACACCUGGAUACGACUGCUACUACCGCACACUACCUUUACACCUAAGUUGUACGCUUUAAAGAUCCAAUUCCCUCCCUCAACCAUGAUCCUGCGUUGUAUUAGCUAGUUGGUGAGGUAAAGGCUCACCAAGGCGAUGAUACAUAGCCGACCUGAGAGGGUGAUCGGCCACAUUGGGACUGAGACACGGCCCAAACUCCUACGGGAGGCAGCAGUAGGGAAUCUUCGGCAAUGGACGAAAGUCUGACCGAGCAACGCCGCGUGAGUGAAGAAGGUUUUCGGAUCGUAAAACUCUGUUGGUAGAGAAGAACGUUGGUGAGAGUGGAAAGCUCAUCAAGUGACGGUAACUACCCAGAAAGGGACGGCUAACUACGUG
RNAcentral lists this ribosomal RNA (497 nucleotides) under uncultured bacterium. RNAcentral describes it as "partial 16S ribosomal RNA". It matches the Rfam family "Bacterial small subunit ribosomal RNA", at positions 27 to 507 of the family's 1533-position model. The record is from RNAcentral.